GACGAACGCUGGCGGCGUGCUUAACACAUGCAAGUCAAGGGGGCCCAGCAAUGGGCAACCGGCGAACGGGUGCGUAACACGUGAGCAACCUUCCGAGAUAUGGGGGAUAGCCGGCCUAACGGCCGAGUAAUACCGCAUACGCUCUCGAUGAGGCAUUUCAUUGAGAGGAAACCUCCGGGGUAUUUCGAGGGGCUCGCGGCCUAUCAGCUAGUUGGCGAGGUAACGGCUCACCAAGGCAACGACGGGUAGCUGGUCUGAGAGGAUGGCCAGCCACAUUGGGACUGAGAUACGGCCCAGACUCCUACGGGAGGCAGCAGUGGGGAAUCUUGCGCAAUGGGCCUAACGGCUGACGCAGCGACGCCGCGUGUGGGAUGAAGCUCUUCGGGAGUGUAAACCACUGUUGCCCGGGACGAAUAGCUCGAUUAAUCGAGCCUGACGGUACCGGGUGA
RNAcentral lists this ribosomal RNA (449 nucleotides) under uncultured bacterium. RNAcentral's name for it is "bacterial SSU rRNA". It matches the Rfam family "Bacterial small subunit ribosomal RNA", at positions 28 to 485 of the family's 1533-position model. The record is from RNAcentral.